ACCAGGGAGACCUCAUCUUCCAACCAAGCUUGCUGGGCUAGCUUUAAUCAAUGCUGGCCUGAGAACAGAAGCAGAACACUGCCUAGUAGACCCUGAGGCUUUACAACAGUGCCACUGGCCCCUAUGAGCCUGAUGCUGCAUGACCAACCCCCUGUGGAGGCCCAGUAUGCAGAGGAGGGCCCAGGACCUGGGAUCUUCAGAGAAGAGCCUGGAGACCAGCAGCAUCCCAUUUCUCAGGCAGUGUGCUGGCGUUCCAGGCGACGUGGCUGUGCAGUGCUGGGAGCCCUGGGGCUGCUGGCCGGUGCGGGUGUUGGCUCAUGGCUCCUAGUGCUGUAUCUGUGUCCUGCUGCCUCUCAGCCCAUUUCCGGGACCUUGCAGGAUGAGGAGAUUACUUUGAGCUGCUCAGAGGCCAGCGGUGAGGAAGCUCUGCUCCCUGCACUUCCCAAAACAGUAUCUUUCAGAAUAAACAGCGAAGACUUCUUGCUGGAAGUGCAAGUGAGGGAUCGGCCAGGCUGGCUCCUGGUCUGCCAUGAGGGCUGGAGCCCCACCCUGGGGCUGCAGAUCUGCUGGAGCCUUGGGCAUCUCAGACUCACUCACCACAAGGGAGUAAACCUCACUGACAUCAAACUCAACCGUUCCCAGGAGUUUGCUCAGCUCUCUCCUAGACUGGGAGGCUUCCUGGAGGAGGCGUGGCAGCCCAGGAACAACUGCACUUCUGGUCAAGUUGUUUCCCUCAGAUGCUCUGAGUGUGGAGCGAGGCCCCUGGCUUCCCGGAUAGUUGGUGGGCAGUCUGUGGCUCCUGGGCGCUGGCCGUGGCAGGCCAGCGUGGCCCUGGGCUUCCGGCACACGUGUGGUGGCUCUGUGCUAGCGCCACACUGGGUGGUGACUGCUGCACAUUGUAUGCACAGUUUCAGGAUGGCCCGCCUGUCCAGCUGGCGGGUUCACGCGGGGCAAGUCAGCCACAGUGCCGUCAGGCCCCACCAAGGGGCUGUGGUGGAGAGGAUUAUCCCACACCCCCUCUACAGUGCCCAGAAUCAUGACUACGACGUCGCCCUCCUGAGGCUCCGGACCCCUCUCAGCUUCUCAGACACCGUGGGUGCUGUGUGCCUGCCGGCCAAGGAGCAGCAUUUUCCGAAGGGCUCGCAGUGCUGGGUGUCUGGCUGGGGCCACACCGACCCUGGCCAUACUUACAGCUCGGAUAUGCUCCAGGACACGGUGGUGCCCCUGCUCAGCACUCAGCUCUGCAACAGCUCUUGCGUGUACAGCGGAGCCCUCACCCACCGCAUGCUUUGUGCUGGCUACCUGGACGGAAGGGCUGAUGCAUGCCAGGGAGAUAGCGGGGGCCCCCUGGUAUGCCCAGAUGGGGACACAUGGCGCCUGGUGGGGGUGGUCAGCUGGGGGCGUGGCUGCGCAGAGCCCAAUCACCCAGGUGUCUACGCCAAGGUAGCUGAGUUUCUGGACUGGAUCCAUGACACUGCUCAGGCCUGGGCCCUGCUGGGGGCUGAGGAGGGGGCUAGGACAUGUUCCCCAGAGUGAGUGGAGGAAGAAGUGAAGCUUAAACAUUGAAUCCAUUGGAUUUCUAUCAAUUUAAGGAUGAACUGGGACUCCCUCCUCUGAGUCCUGCUGUUUCCUCCAGUCUCACUGCACACCACCGCCUCAUGCUUCCUGGGGCCUUCAGCAGCUCCACUAAUGGAGGAAAGGCAGUAGCCUCUGAUGCAGAAUGCAUGGACCUCCUACUACUGUGCGUGAGGAACAGUCACCACCCACUGGCCAGCCACCCAGCCACCAGGUCUCUCCUCUUGGGCCCUGAUUUCAGAGUCCUCUUUCUCACUAGAGACUCAAUGACAGAAGAGAGGCUGGGGCUCGGUUGGGCAUGCUGUGGUUGCUGAGGGAUGAGAGGGAGGAGGAGAGAGGUAGGAGCUGGAGAUGAAGAGGCUGCUGGAAGCAGCAGGAAGCCUGCCCUUCUCCCCUCUCCCCUCCCUGCCCCUGUGUGAGUCUUUUGGGAGGGUGCUGGGAGGUGCCCCCAGUCCCGCCUUUUCCCUGUGCUCUCAGGUGGGCUGAGUGCCUCCCUAGAGGACUCCAUGGCUGAGAGGCUCCUGGGCAGAUGGGGUCAAGGCUGGGCCAGCCCAGAUGAAGCCUACGGGAGUCAGGACCCUCUCCACUCUCCCUCUCCACUCCCCUUCCUGUUCUCACCUGGCUCUGGCUGGCUCUGUUUGGGGUGGGUGCACUGGAAAACAAGAAGGUUGGAGUUGGUCUAGGACGUUGGUUUUAAAUGACAGUUCUGUGAACUGGUCCAAGGAGUUCUGUUAUUAAAGUGAUAUAUGGUCUUGG
Molecule: RNA transcript, 2331 nt
Organism: Pongo pygmaeus (Bornean orangutan)
Lineage: Eukaryota; Metazoa; Chordata; Mammalia; Primates; Hominidae
Gene: TMPRSS5
Gene name: transmembrane serine protease 5
Exons: 14
Source: RefSeq, a predicted model, not a curated record